Molecule: ribosomal RNA, 252 nt
Filed under: uncultured bacterium
Lineage: Bacteria
Description: partial 16S ribosomal RNA
Rfam family: Bacterial small subunit ribosomal RNA
Source: RNAcentral
GUCCACGCCGUAAACGAUGGAUACUAGCUGUUCGGAGCAAUCUGAGUGGCUAAGCGAAAGUGAUAAGUAUCCCACCUGGGGAGUACGUUCGCAAGAAUGAAACUCAAAGGAAUUGACGGGGCCGCACAAGCGGAGGAGCAUGUGGUUUAAUUCGAUGAUACGCGAGGAACCUUACCAGGGCUUAAAUGGGAGACGACAGGACUGGAAACAGUUUUUCUUCGGACGUCUUUCAAGGUGCUGCAUGGUUGUCGU